This 1463-nucleotide long non-coding RNA is filed under the name Pogona vitticeps (central bearded dragon). RNAcentral's name for it is "lncRNA (ENSPVIG00000000782.1)". The record is from RNAcentral. Lineage: Eukaryota; Metazoa; Chordata; Lepidosauria; Squamata; Agamidae.
CAGGCUUUAUAGACCUGGAUCUUGCUGUAUGCCGUCAGCUUCUUAUUAAGCCAUACUCUCUUACCCCUGUUAAAUUUCAUGCUGUUGCUUUCGGCCCAGGGCUCCAUCCGUUUAAAGGCAGGCCCUUAUAAGGCACAGGAGCAGGGCAGAGAGGGGAAGUUGGCAACACCGGGAGCUUAGCUUUUACGUGGUGGACCUUUUCCCCCCUUUGACUAGGUGGCGAACGGGAGAGGGGACGAGGUUGCCGCUUCCUCGCCGCAGAUCCAGCUUGCUUGCUCGUUCGCUUGCUUGCUCGCCUCCCAAGUCGGCGGCUCCUCUUCUUGCUGCCGCCGCCAACGGGGCAGGAUCGGCUACGCGCGCGCGGGGAGCGGGGAGGGGGGGGAGGUUUGUGCAGUGACGUCACGGAGCCUCCGGCCAGCACAACGUUUUCCAUUGAGGGGAGCGCGGAGCGCGUGCUCUGGCGAGCACAUGGGCCGCAAGCAAGCAAGCAACACCGCCGGGGCUGGAGUCCUUCGCGCUGCAGAGAGCGCGGCCUGCUCCGGAUUGAUCCCCUUUGCCGUGCAUUUCUUUUGCAGCGGAUUUAUCGCUCGCUCCAAAAACAAUGAAGAAGCAAAGCAAAAAAAAAAGGGGGGGCGAAGAAGAGAGCUAGGAGCAACUUUGCAAACGCUUCGGCAUGAUUGGGGAGAACUCGGCGUGGCCCGCGGAGGGGUGAUAAAAAAGAAAUCAGGGACUGAAAUCAACUGAAUGUGCUACUUUGGCACCCAGGGAGAAGGGAAGAAGAAACUGUUACAGGAUGAUGGCUGCUUUCAGUGACACUUCAAAAAAAUUGGACUUGAACUGACAAGUUUGGGCAUGUUUACAGUGGCCUAUAUUUAGUCCCUGCCACAAUUAGUCAUUUGGCAAUUGCUGCCACGGAAGUGUCCAACCUUUUCUUUGAUGUGCCUGCUUUUUUGGACAAAAUGCCUCUUUUUAGGCCCUUGUGUCUCAAGAACCGGGAUUUGUUGGAAGACACUAUUCCUGAUGUAAUCUUGCACUUCCAGAAUCUCUGUGUCAACCUAUGCAAAAAACAGCAGCUUUGCAGUUGGUUGUAUUUUUGUUGCCCUGUAGCCUUACGGAGCGAAAUUGGGUUGUGUUUGCGAAGGCUUUGCUUUUUUAUCAAGUCACACUGAAUUUUAAUUGGUUUGUGAAAGGAUGGGAAAUUGUUUAUGCAGAUCACCGGUACAAUCAAGGGGUUGAAUCCGUCAACUGAUUUAGGCCAACUGGGACAGAAUUCUUCCUAAAUCUCAAUUUUAGAAGGCCAGAGAUGUUUUUUUAAAAUUUAUGUCCCGUUUCCCCGAUGAUAUCCAGAAUAAUCACAAUGAUCUGUGAUAGAUGUUUUGAAUGGAUAGCCUUUUUUUAAAGUAAUAUCUUGGAAGCCAUCAUUCUGCUGAAAUAAGUGAUGUAGUUCUUAUGGGUUUGCUGAU